Molecule: ribosomal RNA, 59 nt
Filed under: Tulasnella sp. H21
Lineage: Eukaryota; Fungi; Basidiomycota; Agaricomycetes; Cantharellales; Tulasnellaceae
Description: Epulorhiza sp. H21 partial 25S ribosomal RNA
Rfam family: Eukaryotic large subunit ribosomal RNA
Source: RNAcentral
UUACACCUCAACUCGGGUAGGACUACCCGCUGAACUUAAGCAUAUCAAUAAGCGGAGGA